Molecule: ribosomal RNA, 426 nt
Filed under: uncultured bacterium
Lineage: Bacteria
Description: partial 16S ribosomal RNA
Rfam family: Bacterial small subunit ribosomal RNA
Source: RNAcentral
UGGGGAAUAUUGGACAAUGGGCGAAAGCCUGAUCCAGCCAUGCCGCGUGUGUGAAGAAGGUCUUCGGAUUGUAAAGCACUUUAAGUUGGGAGGAAGGGCAUUAACCUAAUACGUUAGUGUUUUGACGUUACCGACAGAAUAAGCACCGGCUAACUCUGUGCCAGCAGCCGCGGUAAUACAGAGGGUGCAAGCGUUAAUCGGAAUUACUGGGCGUAAAGCGCGCGUAGGUGGUGUGUUAAGUUGGAUGUGAAAUCCCCGGGCUCAACCUGGGAACUGCAUUCAAAACUGACUGACUAGAGUAUGGUAGAGGGUGGUGGAAUUUCCUGUGUAGCGGUGAAUGCGUAGAUAUAGGAAGGAACACCAGUGGCGAAGGCGACCACCUGGACUAAUACUGACACUGAGGUGCGAAAGCGUGGGGAGCAAACA